This 497-nucleotide ribosomal RNA is filed under the name uncultured bacterium. Its description in RNAcentral is "partial 16S ribosomal RNA". It matches the Rfam family "Bacterial small subunit ribosomal RNA", at positions 899 to 1397 of the family's 1533-position model. The record is from RNAcentral.
ACUCAAAUGAAUUGACGGGGGCCCGCACAAGCGGUGGAUCAUGUGGUUUAAUUCGAAGCAACGCGAAGAACCUUACCUGGAUUUGACAUCCUCUGAAUACAGUAGAGAUAUUGUAGGCCCGCAAGGGACAGAGAGACAGGUGCUGCAUGGCUGUCGUCAGCUCGUGUUGUGAAAUGUUGGGUUAAGUCCCGCAACGAGCGCAACCCCUGUGCUUGGUUGCCAUCAUUAAGUUGGGCACUCCAAGCAGACUGCCGUCGUCAAGACGGAGGAAGGUGGGGAUGACGUCAAGUCCUCAUGGCCUUUAUAUCCAGGGCGACACACGUGAUACAAUGGUAGGUACAGAGGGUCGCGAAGUGGUGACACGGAGCCAAUCUCAAAAAGCCUAUCUCAGUUCGGAUUGGAGUCUGCAACUCGACUCCAUGAAGUUGGAAUCGCUAGUAAUCGCGGAUCAGCACGCCGCGGUGAAUACGUUCCCGGGCCUUGUACACACCGCCCGU